This is a long non-coding RNA of Capra hircus (goat), 1742 nucleotides long. RefSeq lists it as uncharacterized. The record is from RefSeq and is a predicted model, not a curated record. The transcript has 3 exons. NCBI's taxonomy places the organism in Eukaryota, Metazoa, Chordata, Mammalia, Artiodactyla, Bovidae.
AUGAGUCCUACUGCAGGAAAUUAUGCCUGUCAGAGGAUGGAAGGCCAGUAUCCUCCUGACGGCUGGUACUGGAGCCUGGGGUACUGCGCAUCGGCUCAUUGCCUUGCAGCUUUGAUCUUGUCCCAGCUGGCAUCUUGAUCAUCCCCAUUCCACAGAUGGAGAAGGAGGCUCGGAGGGUUUGUCCACUUGCUCAGACUCACACAGCCAGACAGGUGGCGGCCGACACGGUAAAAUGCCAGAUCAGUCCCAGCAAGAGACAGGCAGGGAGGGUACACAGAGGAGGUGGCCUUGACCUAGGCUCCGGGGAUGGGCUUGCGGACGGAGAACAGAGAGGAAGGGCAGAGAACAAAGGGCAUAGACGGAUCAGGGUGCUGGCCAUCCACUGAGCCUGGCCCUGGGGUAUGUGGCAGGGGCAGGACGGGCUCAGGUCUGGGUACCCCGCCCCCCCCACAACCCCAGGUCGCAGGGGUGUGGAAGGUAUUCUGCUAGGUAGUGACUCCCUUCAUAGGGCUAGACCUGCUGGGGCCUGAAGCUGGUUAUGAAGAGAAACCUAAAACAGGUUUGUGGGUGAGUCAGUAGCUGGGAGCGCACAAAGAAACAGGCCUCUUGGAGGUCUUCCCUCAGCAUCUGCGGACCGGGUGGCCGCCCACGCCUGCUUGCUGGAUGGCCAGGACCACAGUGACCCAAGGACCAGCGGGAGCAGUUGCACGCGAGAGGGGUGGGGUUCGUCCUAAGAAGCCUUUGUCACUGAAGCGGAUGUCGGAGAUGACUUGGGUUUUCUCUGCAAGUGAAAAACCUCUGCUUGUGAGAAUGAACAGGAAGGAGGGUCUCCUUAGGGCCACAGAUUGCUUUCCACGUCCUUCUAUCAUGCAUGUGUAAAGUCUAUUCACAACUUUAUCAAAACAUCUCUUUUGGGAAAAGUGAGCUUGGGAAGAAAGUGUGAACAUUGAGUCCUGUUUUUCCAAAAGACUCUCCAUCUGCACCCCCACUGGACGCAGAGUCAUUUUCACGAGCUGCUUGGGAAUUUCCUGUUUAUUUACCCGGACUUCCAGACAAACCGGGACUCCAGCCCCGCCUCCCCCCACUGCAGUCAACUUGGCGCAAGGAGAUGUCUGGGCCGGGGAGCUAAGAGUGACUCACCUCAAACCUUCCCACCCCAGCGGCCCCUGCCCACCGUGGACUGCAGCAGAUGGAGGCUCCGGGCACCUGGAAUCAGAGGGAAACCCCCACAGGACACCUUCCAGCAAGAAAGAGGAGACAACUAGAUCUCAGCCUGGAACAGAGCAGGCCUGUCGCCCCUCUUUCCUCCCUGCCGCAGAAUUAGGGGGUGGCUGUGGAGGAAGAACUGUACCCCCCUUUCAAUGGCUAAGUCAGAGGUCUCUCUUGGUAACAGUCACAUCGCACUUGAAAACAUGUGGGUUAUUUUCAAAUAUCUUUUGAUAUUAAUUUCUAAUAUAAUUUCACCGUGAUAAGAGAACAGACUGUAUGAUUUCAUCACCUUUAGACCAGGAAAUUUUUGCACCUUGUUUUACGCCCCUGGAUAUGUUCUAGUGUCUCCUGAUUUAUAGUCUAUGGGAACUUGAAUAGAAUUUGUAUCCUGCUGUUGUGUGAAAAUUGUAUAGAUCUUUACUAUAUUGAAUUGGUUCAUGGUGCUUUUCAGAUCUAACUAUAUACUUCUACUUCUCUGUCUUUUCUUUCUAUUAAUUUUUUGUGAGUCUGAUAUUGAAACUCCAGUUAAAAAU